UGCAAAGUCGAGCUCAAUCGGUGAUGAAGUACGCGAGUUGGUGGCAAGAAAAAAGUAAAUAAUAAGUGAUAGAAGACACAUAGAUUUUUAAAAUAAAAGGAACGAGAUUUGAAAUUUAGUUUCGAAAUAUUAAAAUUUAAAUGCUGUUUACAGUAAGCGGCUUACUGAAGCUAUUUAUGCUUCAUUAAACUAUAAUUGGCCGAUCAAGCAUACCGAUCGGGAGCCGAAUUUCAUUUGCGAUCGCGUAACGAACGUUUAAUGAGCCACGGGGUUAAGACCUCAACAGAAAUACGCGAUAGUCGUUAUCGCCACAAGCCGAUGGCGCUCGCAGUUCGGUCCAACCGGUGCUGGGGUGCACUGCUUGGGCAAUAAUCGGGCAGUUGGGCCAGCUGGCCGGUGCUGCGGUGGCGGUUUUGUCUCGUGUAAGCUGCUCGAUAUUACUAUAAAAUUGCUUUUUGGUUUUCACACGUGAUAGCUUCAAAUGCGGUAUCAAUAUCGGAUAAUACAAGUAUACUACUGGAACAUUGGUGAUAUUGAUGGAGGCAACACUACGGAACUUAGAAACUCUGUCGCAAUGUGCAAGGCAAACAAGUCUAUAACGGAAGCGCAAAGGGUGUAACGGAAGUGAAGACAAGAUUGGGUCGAUAAAGUGAAUACUGGAGUUCAUUAUGGCCAAAGUCAUUAUGCUCAUAAUUGAAUUAAAUCGAAUCAAUAGGCCAAAAUAUGAAGUAGCAACGUUAGCAAAUAAGAAGUGAUGUCCAGGAGUUAUCAGUAUUGUAUAAAUAUUUGAACAAACUUCUAUGCUUCCUCAAUUGAGAUGAAAUUCUUCAAAAUCAGCGAUAUUAGCACUAAGCUUUCUUAUAAGGAAAUACAGCGUACACAAUGGUUCUCUUUAAUGCAGAAAAUAAUUAAUUUCAAUGUAUUAUUUGUGGUUCUUUACAUAUUAACCCAACUGAAAUAAGGUACCAGAUACAGCGUACUAAAAAGGAACACCCUAAUGCAAUUACUCAUAUUUCAACAUGGAAAUUUAUUAAGAGAAAAACAUAUGCAUGGAAUCGUAUGUGAUGAGUUGAGCUGAGUUUUCAUUUAGAUACAUAUUUUAUGUGCAAUAUUCAUAUAAAUUAAUAUUAGUUUGAACCGGCUGCAAAGCUCAAAGCUUAAAAUUUUUGUCAACAAAUGUUCUGUUCUGUUCUUUUAGAAUAAAUAAAAACCCACUAAGCAGAAUUAGUCUUUUAAAAAUCCUAAAAGCCAUAGAAAGCUGAAAGCCGAAACCUCAAGAUGUUGACAUUUGAGCUGAGCUUAGGCUCGCUGCAGAAGUGCUCACUGCGCAACAUGGCCUACAUUCGGGAGUGCUUGUCUUUUUGCUUGAACAGAGUGCCAUUGCAUGCACGCCUGCAAGUGAGGUUUUCAUAAAAAUACACACGGCACAUAUACGGUGUAUAUAUGUAGUAUAUAUACUAAUUCUGUGCAUUUGGAUUUGGAUAUGGCUGCGUGUGUUCUGCACAUAUAUUUACAAGCAUUUAUUUAUGUAUUCCACUGUUGUCGGCUUUACAUGCUUGAUGACAAAAUGCGAAAUGCAAAAAUCGCUCAAAGUUCCGUGUACUGAUUCCGACCACCGAGCACAAAGCAAAAUUUGAGUAGCCAGCCUUGUAGGAGGGAGGAGGAACGGGGAGUGCCGAGUGUAUAAAUAAUGCUACCAGCAUAACAAAAGCCAGGACAAUGUAUACACAGCAGCUUAAUAAGAAAACAGACAACAAGUGCCGCUGCUGUAAGCGCAUAAAUGCAAAUGUGCAAAUGUGUGUGUGAAGUAAGCAAAAGCGGGCUCUUAAGCCAAACAACCCGCAAAUGUUGGCAUAAAGCUCAAAAGCAACGCAAACUUCACUCUGUUGAUACACUAAACUCUCGGCUCCAACAAUUCGCCAAUCCUUUUCUUAGCCGCUGCAAACAGACAUCACUAGCAGCACGCAUGCCUACAUCAACGCACACUCAUACACUUGUAAUAUUGUGUGUAAGGCAGCUGCAAAUACAUAUAUUAGCAUGACAUCUUACAUAAACAAACUCGUACUUUGGCGCAGCAACAUUAAGUCUGCAACGUAACAUAAUGCUUUGAUUGUUUCUUUUUUGUGGUUUGCGUAGAAUGAAGUAUAAUUGACGUGCCAAACGCAUGCUUUGCUUUAAGACGAUGUGAGCUUGAAGACACCUUCAUCCAUAGGCAGAGGCUACUGUGGAAUUCAUGAGAAAUUUCUGCUUAAUUUCACUUUAAGUGCCGCCCUAAUGAAUAUACGCACUCAUAUACAUACAUACAUAAGUAUGUGGAUAUGAUUCAUGCACAAGUAUGUUACUUUUAACAGUUAACUAACAGCUGACAACACUAUCUACUUUUGUCUUGUCUGCAGCAGAGAACAACGCAUAAAACCAGCACACAACAACAACAACAACAACUGAAAUGGCCAGAAGCCUAUUACAUUGCAUACAAGGCGAGUAACAAUGCAAAAACAUUACCUAAAUGUUUAUUCAAGUUAUUUAACUUAAACUUCAAGUUAAAUUAAGCAAACAAAGACAGCAGCAAAGAAAUGACAGCCUCAGCGGUAGUGAGGGGCAGGUUAAGCUGAACGGCGCAGCUUGAGCAGCAUGCGUAAAGCGCAGCGACAACUUCGGUCGUAAGAAGACACAACAACGCCAACAAAAUGUGCACAGAGCGGCCACAUUAGAGCCAUUAGCUAAGGGAUCUCAAGGUAAAUAUUUAAAGUGGAAACAACAAUAUGUCAACAGCAACAACAACCAUAAAGAGCGCUGUGGACCUAGUAAAGCGAGUACAAAGGACUAACGGCCCUCCAGGAGAGCAAUAACUACUCGAGGGGGAGAGCGGUAGCAAGCCAUGUAUGUACAUGAUAAUAUUAGUAAAACCAACAAUGUGCAAUGUGACUGAAUGCAAGCGCAUGUGUGCCAAAGCAAAGAUCAACGACAACAGAUGAUAACGACCAGGGAAACAAUCAAGCAAGCAGGCUAAGCAAAUCCACAAACUUCGCCGCUUGCCACUGCGUAUACGUAAUGUCUAAUUCACUCAUGAGCCUUACAUGGUGGCUAUGUAAGCCUCAUUGUAUAUAAGCAUAAUACAGUUAUAAACAUGGUGUCCUUAACUGAAACGUGUGUUAGUGUGGGUAGAUGUCUCAAUCAAAAGUUUCUUCCACGCGCACUUUUUGUAAAAAAAUCGAUUUUGCAUUCAAAUAAAUGUACAAAGAAUUGGUCUCUUAGUGUUUGCAUGCUGGAAGAUUAUCAGAAGAUUACAUAUACAUAUAUUAUUGUGCGCGUCGCUUUAAUUCCAUUGCGGUCCACUAUUUCGGGAAAAGUGAAUAUGAUUCGAUUUAGUGAGCACCGUAUACAUUGAAAUAAAUUCAUAUCCCUGGUUACCACAUGCUCAAGGAUCGUUUGAUGCGGAAAUUUCCAGGCUUAUUAAAUUACAUUUUAUGAAUUCCUUAGCGUGUCAGACAUGAAGUUCCAUUCUGAGCGGCACACAAGCACACAUGUAUGUGCAUGCACAAAUGGCAUAAACGGCAUGCGAAUGCCAAUAGAUAGGAUAAGCAUAAUGUGCAGUUAAGUUGCAAACAUUACUCACUUAUGGAAGGCGCCAAGCAGCCACAGACACACAUUUAUGGCUUGCAUUAGCGCUUAAAUGGAAUUGCAAGUUGUGGGCGAAGAAUAUUGCACUCCUGCACACACACACACAUACACACAAAAUAAUAUAAGUAAAAGCACUUGCAAGAAUCAUAAGUAAAUUGGAAUAGUUUGGCUGAACGCCAUUUUAACUCGUUCUACAUCGGAAAAAAUACUGUAGCAAUCUAAAUAAUGUAAGAAUAAUAUCAAAGUGAAAGUUUUGCUAGCAAUUUGUAUUUAAUGCAUAUUUAUUUCAUUAUAUUAUUAAAAUAAACUCAGUUUUGUACCGAGUUGCGAUCUAAAUUUUCCUGUAAACGCUCUCAGUGCAUGUGUUAGCUCCCAGUUUGUGUUAGUGUUAGUGUGAGUAUUUAGUUGGGGAAAAAAUUGUGAAACGCAGCCAAGAGAAACCAUGGCGAUAAGCUGGCAGCACACAAAAGUGCAUACAAGUGUACAUAGAAACUUUGAGAUAGGAAAGUGUGAGUAGUUCGAGCAAACUUUCGAAUGCAAAAUUAAAAGCCAGUUGGUGACUGUUCGCGAAGCCUACUCAAGCAAAAGUAGUAUGAUUUCUGCUUUUAAAAACGCAUGAAAAUUAAAUUUUUUCGUAUAUUGUCAAUAGAUGUCGUCGACCCUGUCAUUGAAAUGUCAAUGAAAUUAUGGAAAAUAUUGACCAGGACCGUCAGAUAAGCAGCCAUAACAUUGCUAAGGAAUUUGACAUUCAUCAUCAAACGGUUUUAUACCAUUUCAAAAGGCUGGCUACAAACAGAACCUCGAUAUUUGGGUACCACGUGAAUCGUCUGUGAAAAAUUUAAUGGACCAAAUUAACAUCUGCGAUUCUUUGCUGAAACAAAAUGAAAUUGAACCAUUUCUGAAGCGAAUGGUAACAUGAGAUGAAAAGUGGAUUAAACAAGACAAAAAUGUGCGAAAAAGAUCAUGCUCUAAGCGUGGUGAAGCUCAACAAAUGGUCGCAAAGCAGGAUUGAUGCCUCGAAAGGUUGUGCUGAGUGUUUGGUGGGAUUGGAAAGGACUCAUCCACUGUGAGCUGUUUCAGCCUAGUAGAUUGAUUUAUUCUACAUUUUACUAUCAAUAACUUAUGAGAUUGAAGGAAGCAAACCAAAAAAA
This 4772-nucleotide long non-coding RNA is filed under the name Bactrocera tryoni. RNAcentral's name for it is "uncharacterized LOC120782246". The record is from RNAcentral. Lineage: Eukaryota; Metazoa; Arthropoda; Insecta; Diptera; Tephritidae.